AUGGAUCCGGCCGUCCUUGAGCACCGGCGCGAGCCCCGUGCUCGUCUGCUUCCGCCGCGGCACGGCCUGCAGGAGACGGCAACGCUGCCGAUCCCCAACGAGCUCGUGGCGGAGAUCUUCCUCCGGCUGCCCACCCCAGCCGAUCUGGUCCGCGCCUCCGCCGCCUGCGCCUCGUUCUACCGUCUCGUCGCCAGCCGCACCUUCCUCCGGCGUUUCCGCAAGCUCCACCGCCCGCCCCUCCUCGGCUUCGUCGAUGGCCGAAUCUUCCACCCCGUGAUCCCGCCUUAUCCUUCCGCCCCCGCAGCCAACGCCGUCGCCCUCGCCGCCGACUUCUCCUUCUCCUUCCUACCCGGCCCCGCCCGCGACUGGGAGGUCCUGGACAUCCGCGACGGCCGCGUCCUCCUUAAGAGGCCCGGCCGGCAGUACCAUGAAAUGGUGGUGUGUGACCCCUUGUACCGGCGGUACCUCCUGCUUCCCCCAUUCCCCGACGAGCAAGCCGCUUCAUUGGAGGACCCAUCCACGAUAAAAUGGUACGAAACCUUCCUUGUACCAGCCGGCGACGAGGAGGCAGCAACUGUGGAAGAGACGUCAUUCAGAGUUAUCUGGAUGGCGCAGUGCAAAUUCAGACUGUUCACCUUUGUCUUCUCUUCUAGCACUGGACAAUGGGGAGUUGUUCCAUCCCCGAGUUGGAGUGAUUUAUUUGCUGGCUUGCCAAGUUUGGAGAUGGCUACACCUCUCAACACACGCCAGUAUGCGUAUGGCUGCUUUUACUGGAUGGCGGGCUACAUGGCAGAAGCUAAAAUGCUGGUGCUGGACACCCGGAGGAUGGAGUUCUCCAUUGCUGAACCCCCACCUGACGGUUUCGCUAUGGCCAUGGUGGAGGCUGGGGAAGGCAGGCCUGGGGUGUUCGUGAAUCCUCAUGGGGGAUCCAAGUUCCGUUAUAGCACUAUGCAAAAUGAUGGUGGGAGUUUGAGCCAGUGGCAGGAGGAGAAAACAAUAUCAUUGGGUUAUGGGUACUACAUCAUUGGUUCAACGGAGAGGUACUUGUUCUUGUAUCAGCUGCAGAGCCCAUUACCUAAUCCAGGUGUUUUCACGCUGGAUGUCCAAACAUUCCAGCUCGAGAGAGUGUGUGAUCAACACUUGGGCCACGCAUAUAGCAACUUCCCACCAUCGUUGUUGUCGUCACCGACAGUAUCAAGCGAUGCUGAGCCACACCGCUUGAUCUCCUGUAUAUGA
This 1236-nucleotide ribosomal RNA is filed under the name Triticum aestivum (bread wheat). RNAcentral's name for it is "partial small subunit ribosomal RNA". Lineage: Eukaryota; Viridiplantae; Streptophyta; Magnoliopsida; Poales; Poaceae. The record is from RNAcentral.